Long non-coding RNA from Neltuma alba, 90 nucleotides. RefSeq lists it as uncharacterized. The transcript has 3 exons. The record is from RefSeq and is a predicted model, not a curated record. Lineage: Eukaryota; Viridiplantae; Streptophyta; Magnoliopsida; Fabales; Fabaceae.
CAUUUGGUUUCUUUGAGGUAUAAACUUUGGUACACAGGAAAGGUGAGCGCAAGGAAUGGGGUUGGUAUCAUCAUUGAUGGAACAUGGAAA